Long non-coding RNA from Bactrocera neohumeralis, 1776 nucleotides. RefSeq lists it as uncharacterized. The transcript has 4 exons. Lineage: Eukaryota; Metazoa; Arthropoda; Insecta; Diptera; Tephritidae. The record is from RefSeq and is a predicted model, not a curated record.
AACGCGACGUGAUAAAAACAUGACUUUAAACUAUGAACACGUGGUUGGAAAAAGAAUAAAUAGCAAAUUGUUAUAUGUUACAGAGGAAAAACAAUUAUAUUCCAAAAAACUAUUAAAAAAGAAAAAUAUUUUUAUGCUUGUUACGUGCAAACAUGCAAAGCGAGGGUGUUUUUGAAUAGUGAAGUGUGUUAUAAGGUUAAAGAUUUCAUUGAUCAUAAUCAUGAAACUCAGGAGGAUACGUACAGGGAAUUAAAUAUUAUGAAUAAUAUGGAGUCAUCCUGUAUGGAAAUACAUCAAGAUUCCACUAAACCGAGCGUUCUUGGAAGCAUACGAAAAAUAUUUCAAUGUACUUGCGUUGAAUACCCGGUGGAAACAAAAGAUAUUGAUUUUUAUAAAAUCCAACGAAAUUACCAAAAACUGGCAAAUAAGCAAUUUCUAAUUUCUCCUAAAACACCAGCUGAUGUUAUCAAAGCAUUUCAAGAUGAAGUAACUUUGAAAAAAUUUGGGUUACAAAACAUACCGGCGAUGAUGCCUCAACAUUUUUUAAGAUAUGCUGUGAUGCAAAAGACUUUGCCUAUUGUUUGUUUUGUUCUGACAAAAUAAUAAAUCUAAUGAAAGAAAAUAUUCCCUCAAAUGUAGAGAGAAAAAUACUGGUUGAUGCUACAUUUUCUGUUUUACCUAUUGGUAGUUUCAAACAGCUUUUAAUUAUUCACAUUGAAUAUUUUGAAACGGUGUCUCCAGCUAUAUUUGUUCUUAUGAACAAGAAAACAAAAAAAGUUUCGAACAUAUGUUUAACUAUAUUAAUACUAAUGUGAUAAAAUUAGACGGAGCGGUGUUUAUGGCGGAUUUUGAAAUUGGAUUGCGUAGUGCUAUAAAAAAAAUAUUUGAACAUUCUAAGCUAUUCGGGUGCUGGUUUCACUAUUGUCAAGCAGUACGAAGAAAUAUUGCUACAAAACACAAGAAUCUGGCGGAAUUUAUUAGGCAAAACCGAAAAGCAUCUAUAUCUUACCACAAAAUAUUGUCACUCCCAUUAUUACCGGAGACACACAUUGUUAAUUGCUUUUCCAUCAUCAAAGAAGAAAUUGCCACUUUCGACCACUUGUUUAAAUUCGAAUCUUUUUUAAAAUACUUUGAAGAGCAAUGGCUAAAAAAAUUGGUCCAAGAAAUCUUUCGGUCUUUGGAAAUAAGAUCCGUACAACAUCAGCUGUAGAAUCGUAUAAUGCUGUGCUUGCCAAAAUAAUCCCUAAAAAAGGGAAUUUUUUCAAAUUUGUGGGGCAGUUACAAAUGGAGGAGUAUCGCAAAAGUAGGGAAUUAGAAUUGUUAUUAACAGCGGUGGUGCUUUAAGGAAAAGAAAAAAAAGGAAAACGUUAUGAGAGCAAAUCUAAUUGCUAAAGCGGAGGCGGACCAGCUUAAUGGACUCAUAACCGCUACGAGUUUCUUGGAUAGAAUGGUCUUUUCUAGAAACAAAAUAGUAACUGAUAUGGAGCCCUUUGAAGACAUAUUCGAAGGUUUAGAAUAUAUGGAAGAAGAAUCUGAAGUCGAAGAAGAAUCCAAUGCCACGGAAGAAGCUGCAGCAAAUCCUCCACUGAUAUGCAUAACUUGUUUGGAAAACAAACCUAAUAUUUUGCUUUUGCCUUGCAAACAUUUAGAAUUGUGCAGUGACUGCACAUCUAAAAUAGAAGCAGAGAGUGUGGCAAACAAUUUUAAUUAAUUUAAAUGCCCUUUUUGUCGUCAAGAUGUUGACGAAUAUUUACAUAUUUUUAUUUAAUUAUUUUC